CGGAUUUUCAUUCACUGCCAUCUUACGCGAAAACCUCUACCGGUGAGCGUUUGGAGUUUUCUACGUAGACAUCUCUUUUUAAAGCGAUCUGAUGUCCCUUGUGCCGUGGUCUUCAGGUCAAGCAAGUUGAUCUGUUCUCAACACCAGAAGAUGUGGAUGAAGAGAAAGCUUCAGGAUCCGGCGCUGUGGCUGAGUUGUCAGCCUGGUGCUCACGCUCAGAGUGGGCAACGUCAUCUUUUGGUGAAGUCUUCCCUGCAUCCGACCUUGUGACAGUGCUGCUGUCCCGAAACUUUAACUCCAUCCCUUC
Molecule: long non-coding RNA, 307 nt
Organism: Hippocampus comes (tiger tail seahorse)
Lineage: Eukaryota; Metazoa; Chordata; Actinopteri; Syngnathiformes; Syngnathidae
Exons: 2
Source: RefSeq, a predicted model, not a curated record